This is a small nucleolar RNA of Rhododendron vialii, 108 nucleotides long. RefSeq annotates it as small nucleolar RNA snoR100. NCBI's taxonomy places the organism in Eukaryota, Viridiplantae, Streptophyta, Magnoliopsida, Ericales, Ericaceae. The transcript has a single exon. The record is from RefSeq and is a predicted model, not a curated record.
UCUAGAAGGAAGCAUGAUAAUGUGCACAAAAAUUAAAUUGGGUGUUUAGGUCUGUCCUCUCUGAUGCCAUUCGGCUUUGAUUUGGGGGCAUGAUGCCGCAACAAAACA